AACGGAUGCUCCCUGGCACAGGGUUCUGAGUCCUGAGCAAGAUCGGGGAAAUGACUCACUUAAAAGAAGUCUUUAUCAACCACAGCAGAAUCCACAGUUAUAUGGCUUCUGGGAAUUUCCAGGUUUUCAGGUGCUAAGUGAGGGAGGAAGAGGGUAUGAAGCCUCCUGGCACAGAGUUGCUGGCAAUGCUCUGCCCUGCUGGCCCUGCUGCCUUCACCAUCAGCCACUCAGGUAUAGAAAAUGCAGCUACCUCUUAGGAGUCCAGAGAGGAGGUCUAACUUAGGACUCAGGCCAGUGGCUCUACCAUCUACCAGAACCUGUGAUCUUGGACAAGUGAUUGAAUUCUGUGGAUCCUCCAUUUCUUCAAAACCUAUAAAAUGGGGCAAUAAUGGUAUUUCUCUCCUAGAGUUUUUAUGAGGGUUAAAUAAAGUAAUCCAUAUAAACUAUUUAGCACAGGGUUUGACACAAUGUAAGUGCUCAAUAGAUAUUACUUAUUUUGAUCUGCAAAGAGAUUAGUUACUGCAUAGGGUGGGGACAGAGUGGGUGGGGUGCCUUUAUGAUACAGCCUGGCAAGGUCUUGGACUGAGAGCAGGACCCAAGAAUGUGGUGGGCAUGGGGAAGAGUGUCUGUAGCAACCUUGCUUCUCUCUUCUAGCAGAAAACCUCUCCACCUUUCCAAAUGUAAGUUUGUUUUUCUCCAUCCCAUGCCGUGGCUCUCAGCUAUUUCC
Molecule: long non-coding RNA, 727 nt
Filed under: Pan troglodytes (chimpanzee)
Lineage: Eukaryota; Metazoa; Chordata; Mammalia; Primates; Hominidae
Description: long non-coding RNA NONPTRT014284
Source: RNAcentral